GACGAACGCUGGCGGCGUGCUUAACACAUGCAAGUCGAACGGAAAGGCCCUGCUUUUGUGGGGUGCUCGAGUGGCGAACGGGUGAGUAACACGUGAGUAACCUGCCCUUGACUUUGGGAUAACUUCAGGAAACUGGGGCUACUACCGGAUCGGAGCUCCUGCUGCAUGGUGGGGGUUGGAAAUUUUCGGCCGUUGGGGAUGGACUCGCGGCUUAUCAGCUUGUUGGUGGGGUAGUGGCUUACCAAGGCUUUGACGGGUAGCCGGCCUGAGAGGGUGACCGGCCACAUUGGGACUGAGAGACGGACCAGACUCCUACGGGAGGCAGCAGUGGGGAAUAUUGCACAAUGGGCGGAAGCCUGAUGCAGCAACGCCGCGUGCGGGAUGACGGCCUUCGGGUUGUAAACCGCUUUCGCCUGUGACGAAGCGUGAGUGACGGUAAUGGGUAAAGAAGCACCGGCUAACUACGUG
This 468-nucleotide ribosomal RNA is filed under the name uncultured bacterium. RNAcentral describes it as "partial 16S ribosomal RNA". It matches the Rfam family "Bacterial small subunit ribosomal RNA", at positions 28 to 507 of the family's 1533-position model. The record is from RNAcentral.